CCCACGUGUUUUAUUGUUGGACUCCUUUAAAGGAAACAAGUUACAAUUUUUACAUUGCAAAAUUGAAGUAAUUAACUUUCAUCCAUUACCUACUGAGAAAAGAAAAUAAUGAGAGUACGACUGCAUUACCAGAUAAACACUUCUCAUUUGUCAUAUUUGUUUUUGUUACUAAGCUGUGUACAUACUGGAAGCACUUCACUCCUUGCACAUUGCUUUGUAGUUGAUGUCUCGUGGCCAUUCCCCCUCUGGCUUCCGAGCACUCCUCCUCCUGCUCUCCUGACUGAAUGCUGCUGCCUGAGCCCGGCCCCUCCUCAGCUCGAGGAGCUGCUUUUACUCACUCAAGCACCAAGGGACACAGGAAUCAUGACUCUGCUAUAGAGGGCAGCCUCUACGCAAGCUCCUCCAACAACAGACACAUUUCCCACAGCUGAUCUUCAAGGCAGAAUACAUCAUGAAGAAUCUCUAAGGACCUUUUCUUUCGUCUUUCCUCUGUGAAACUCACCUUUAAGUUUUCUGAAAUUCAAAAUUUGUUACGAAAGAUGAGUGUGAAAAAAAAGGCUGCACUUGUCAUCAGCUGGCAGAAGUCAUUUUCCAUCAUGGCCCCUUGGAGGAAAGGUAAAGGAGACAGUAAAAACACAUUACUGGACAGUGAGGUUGUCCUGACAAAAAUGAAGCUUUUCAGCAACUUCCAUGAAAGUCUUCUGAGGGCUGAUGACGCCGUGUCCACCAUUUCCACAGUGUCAGUUAUUGACCAGGAAAACUCACACUCCGAGCUGAAUUCUCAGCUUAAUGAAAAGCCUCAGAUCAAGUCUGGCUCCAAAUAUCUAUCUGCCAUUUUGUCAGAUUCUCAUCUCUCAAACUUGUACAAGUGUGAAUCUGAGGACUCUGGAGUGGAGCUCCCCAGCGGAGCUAAUUCACCAUCCACCCCAACAGGAUCUGAGCAGAGCUUUGUGGUCCACAGUCGAGAGUCUUCCUGUGACUCCUCCAACUUAAACUCUGAGCCCACCGUCCUCUCUGACAGACUCGUUGCAGAUACAAAGAACACUGAGAAAAACCAGGCAAAUGACUCAGCGGAUAACAGUUUAAAUACAACAGUGGAUACACAGGAUAGUUUGUUCAUUCAUUCAAAUACACUUAUUUCUUCGGCUAUAACAGUAGAGUUGCACAUAGGUGAGGAUGUGGACCAAUGCAGGGUUUUGGGUGCUGAACAAAGUGAGGAUGCUGAAGAAUCCAGUGCUGUGACAGGAAGGACCAGCUCAGAGGAUACGAGGCUUGGAGAGCAAUCCUUAAUACAAAGCUGUGAUGACAUGACAAGCAAAGUCUUUGAACCCGAGCCUAUUAAAAGGAGUAUCACCAGUGACAGCCUGGAAGAGUACAUGGAUGAAUGCUGCAGAUUAAGUAAGGAACAGCAAGUGAGCUCCAGCCCACUAUCAUCAGGACUGGGUUACCUGGAGCACAUCUGUCAACUCGUUGAGAAGAUCAGCCAGAUGCAGGAGACUAACCUCCAGCUGCAGAGGCAGCUCUGCAGUCUGCAAAAGGAAUGCAGGAUGAGAAAGGCCAAAGAGGACUUCUUCAAAGACUACUGCAGCUGUGGUGCAGCCAGUUUAGCCUUCCAGGAUUUUCAGAAAACACAAUCCAGAGAUGAGUUUUCAUCACCCAGUGGAACUCUCUCAGACCUGUCAGCCAUUCCAGAGGUCACACAGCACCCACUCAUGUCGACCAGUGGAGGAGUUACAGGUGAUGCUUUAACACUCGUCCCUCCGUGGAGGAAGAGCCUAAACCAAAGGAGUUACACUGAGGGGGAGGUCCACGGGGACAGCACUGAGGGGCUCUCCAUCACUCAGCACACACUGAGUGAAAACAACACAUGGGCCAGAGUCAAAGACAUGGUAAGGAAGACUAAGUUAAGGAAUCACAGCAGGCUGGGAACAGCCUCAGCUUCACUGAAGAUGUCCUGCCCACAGCUCUACAGACCUGAUCUGGAACCAGUACAAUCAUCUGGAACAAGCAGGAACUCUAUGAUUGCCUUGGGCCACCGGAGUACACUGGACUUCCCGUGGCUUGAGUAAGGAUCCAGAAACAGCCUGUCUGAUCGGACCUCCUCGCUCCUGAGUGUAACAAGUAGUUGUAAACUUUCUGUAUUUACAUUCAUGAAGUCAUCUUUUGAUUGUAGACUUUGACAUCUGCUUCUGUGAGACUGUUGUGCUGAGCUGGCUAGUUCAGUCAUUCUUUUUCAAGAAUGUUCAAGACUUUUUAUUUGACAGCUGCUAAAAUCUGCAAUCUCUCCAGCCUAAGUAUGGCCUCUUCCACAGCAGCUCCUGUGACCUCAUAUUGAGACUUGUAGUGCACAGCUACCAAUGCAGGUUCAACAUUUCACAGCACGUCCAGUGUAACAAGAGAAUAAAACAUCAUCUGGCCAUGAAACUGCUUGUCAGCUGUUCUUACUUUGUUAUUUCUUAAUGUUCAGCCUCUGGAAAUGGGAGGUGUAAAAUCCUGUCUGCAUGCUCUCUGUAACUGUGUGAUAAUGUCUUUG
Molecule: long non-coding RNA, 2533 nt
Organism: Oreochromis aureus
Lineage: Eukaryota; Metazoa; Chordata; Actinopteri; Cichliformes; Cichlidae
Source: Ensembl